This 253-nucleotide ribosomal RNA is filed under the name uncultured bacterium. Its description in RNAcentral is "partial 16S ribosomal RNA". It matches the Rfam family "Bacterial small subunit ribosomal RNA", at positions 524 to 776 of the family's 1533-position model. The record is from RNAcentral.
UACGUAGGGCGCAAGCGUUGUCCGGAAUUAUUGGGCGUAAAGAGCUCGUAGGCGGCCUGUUGCGUCCGCUGUGAAAUCCCGGGGCUCAACCCCGGGCGUGCAGUGGAUACGGGCUGGCUGGAGGCAGGCAGGGGAGAACGGAAUUCCUGGUGUAGCGGUGAAAUGCGCAGAUAUCAGGAGGAACACCGGUGGUGUAAACGGCUUUCUGGACCAUAACUGACGCUGAGGCACGAAAGCGUGGGGAGCAAACAGG